RNAcentral lists this transfer RNA (61 nucleotides) under Glyptotermes sp. C TB-2014. RNAcentral's name for it is "tRNA-Ala". The record is from RNAcentral. Lineage: Eukaryota; Metazoa; Arthropoda; Insecta; Blattodea; Kalotermitidae.
AGGGUUGUAGUUAACCAUAACAUUUGAUUUGCACUCAAAAAGUACUAAAUUAGUCUACCUU